GUAGGACUACCCGCUGAACUUA
Molecule: ribosomal RNA, 22 nt
Filed under: Porodaedalea yamanoi (nom. illeg.)
Lineage: Eukaryota; Fungi; Basidiomycota; Agaricomycetes; Hymenochaetales; Hymenochaetaceae
Description: Porodaedalea yamanoi partial 28S ribosomal RNA
Source: RNAcentral